This 482-nucleotide ribosomal RNA is filed under the name uncultured bacterium. RNAcentral describes it as "partial 16S ribosomal RNA". It matches the Rfam family "Bacterial small subunit ribosomal RNA", at positions 30 to 507 of the family's 1533-position model. The record is from RNAcentral.
AUUGAACGCUGGCGGCAUGCCUUACACAUGCAAGUCGAACGGUAACAGGUCUUCGGUUGCUUACUUGUGGCGAACUGGUGAGUAAUACAUCGGAACGUGCCCGACCGUCGGGUGUAACGAGGCGACAGCUUUGCUCAUACCCCAUACCAUCUUCGCGUGACAGCGGGGGAUCUUCGGACCUCGCGCCGACGGAGCGUCCGAUGUCAGAUUAAGUAGUUGGUGGGAUAAAAGCUUACCAAGCCGACGAUCUGUAGCUGGUCUGAGAGGAUGAUCAGCCACACUGGGACUGAGACACGGCCCAGACUCCUACGGGAGGCAGCAGUGGGGAAUUUUGGACAAUGGGCGAAAGCCUGAUGCAGCCAUGCCGCGUGUAGGAUGAAGGCCUUCGGGUUGUAAACUGCUUUUGUACGGAACGAAAAGAGUAUAGCUAAUAAAGAGGGGUAAUGACGGUACCGUAAGAAUAAGCACCGGCUAACUACGUG